RNAcentral lists this ribosomal RNA (501 nucleotides) under uncultured bacterium. RNAcentral's name for it is "partial 16S ribosomal RNA". It matches the Rfam family "Bacterial small subunit ribosomal RNA", at positions 30 to 523 of the family's 1533-position model. The record is from RNAcentral.
AUUGAACGCUGGCGGCAGGCUUAACACAUGCAAGUCGAGCGGGGGAAGGUAGCUUGCUACCGGACCUAGCGGCGGACGGGUGAGUAAUGCUUAGGAAUCUGCCUAUUAGUGGGGGACAACAUCUCGAAAGGGAUGCUAAUACCGCAUACGUCCUACGGGAGAAAGCAGGGGAUCUUCGGACCUUGCGCUAAUAGAUGAGCGUAAGUCGGAUUAGCUAGUUGGUGGGGUAAAGGCUUACCAAGGCGACGAUCUGUAGCGGGUCUGAGAGGAUGAUCCGCCACACUGGGACUGAGACACGGCCCAGACUCCUACGGGAGGCAGCAGUGGGGAAUAUUGGACAAUGGGGGGAACCCUGAUCCAGCCAUGCCGCGUGUGUGAAGAAGGCCUUAUGGUUGUAAAGCACUUUAAGCGAGGAGGAGGCUACUUUAGUUAAUACCUAGAGAUAGUGGACGUUACUCGCAGAAUAAGCACCGGCUAACUCUGUGCCAGCCGCCGCAGUAA